Molecule: transfer RNA, 73 nt
Filed under: Phaethon lepturus (White-tailed tropicbird)
Lineage: Eukaryota; Metazoa; Chordata; Aves; Phaethontiformes; Phaethontidae
Rfam family: tRNA
About the family: Transfer RNA (tRNA) molecules are approximately 80 nucleotides in length.
Source: Rfam by way of RNAcentral
GGCCUCAUGGCACAACGGCAGCGUGUCUGACUCCAGUAGCAGAAGGUUGUGUGUUCAAGUCACACUGGGGUCA